This 439-nucleotide ribosomal RNA is filed under the name uncultured bacterium. Its description in RNAcentral is "partial 16S ribosomal RNA". It matches the Rfam family "Bacterial small subunit ribosomal RNA", at positions 338 to 795 of the family's 1533-position model. The record is from RNAcentral.
CCUACGGGUGGCAGCAGUGGGGAAUAUUGGGCAAUGGAGGAAACUCUGACCCAGCAACGCCGCGUGAAUGAUGAAGGUCUUCGGAUUGUAAAGUUCUGUCGCAGGGGACGAAAAUGACGGUACCCUGCAAGAAAGCUCCGGCUAACUACGUGCCAGCAGCCGCGGUAAUACGUAGGGAGCAAGCGUUGUCCGGAAUUACUGGGUGUAAAGGGAGCGUAGGCGGGAGGAUAAGUUGAAUAUGAAAUCUAUGGGCUCAACCCAUAGCUGCGUUCAAAACUGUUCUUCUUGAGUGAAGUAGAGGCAGGCGGAAUUCCUAGUGUAGCGGUGAAAUGCGUAGAUAUUAGGAGGAACACCAGUGGCGAAGGCGGCCUGCUGGGCUUUUACUGACGCUGAGGCUCGAAAGCGUGGGUAGCAAACAGGAUUAGAUACCCGGGUAGUC